This 619-nucleotide long non-coding RNA is filed under the name Coturnix japonica (Japanese quail). RNAcentral describes it as "lncRNA (ENSCJPG00005000480.1)". Lineage: Eukaryota; Metazoa; Chordata; Aves; Galliformes; Phasianidae. The record is from RNAcentral.
AUGCUGUUAACUAAUGUUCUUUUCUCAUUUCCAAGGGGAAAAUGUCAGAUACAAGAUUUCUGCUGGAGCAAGGCAGAUCAAUAUGGCUUUACAAGAACUGUGAGGGAAUGUUCAGGAACUGUUGAAUCAUGGCCUAAAUCUCUGAUUGAUCACCUGAGGCAAGCACUGAGUCAGAUGUGGGACCACAGGUGAAGGCAAUUCAGCCUUCUGUGACCAGAAGAGGUGGACCCUGGCUGCACCUCUCCUAGACCUAGACCCUGACUGCUACUGGGGUAGUAUGAUUUUCUGGAGAUUGCUCUCUUUGGAGUUUUUCUGCAUGCUAAGGACCCAGGUGAGUGUUUUUGUUUGUUUUUGAUUAUCCCUUUCCACUGUGAUGAUUUUUCUAGCUAUAUGAUCUGUAGAUACUAGCCUAAUCAUUGCACUCUAUGUUGAUUAUACAGGGAAAGAUACCAUUUCUUGCUUGAUAGGCCUGUAAGAGAGUAAGGUCUCAAGGCUGUUUUGCCACAGGGGCAUUUUGAUAAGCCUUCAAGAUUAGGCUCUACCAACAGAACCACAUUCAUGAUCUUAAUGCAGAAGUUACACUAAUAAAUAGUUGCUUCGUUGACUAAAAUGUUGCUGG